This 635-nucleotide long non-coding RNA is filed under the name Homo sapiens (human). Its description in RNAcentral is "HSALNT0364939". Lineage: Eukaryota; Metazoa; Chordata; Mammalia; Primates; Hominidae. The record is from RNAcentral.
AGCCAGCAGGGAGGAAGCAUUCCUCUUCUGAACCUCCCAGAAGGCAGCCACGUGGCACCACCUGCACUGCCUGCAGCUUCUGUUGCACCUGGGGCAGAGCUACGCUUGGCUGCUGACACCUAUGAGAAGGCAGGCAUGGUGGACCUUCCGCAAAGCUGAAGGCCUGAAUAGAACAAAAAGGCUCACCGUCCCAUGAAUAGAGAGAACUCCUCCUGCCUGACUGCUGUGAGCUGGGACAUCCAUUGUUUUCUGUUUUUUGGAUUUGAACUGAAACAUCAGCUCUUCCUUGAUCCUGAACCUGCUGGCUUUCUGACCGGAACUUGCACCAACAGCUCUCCUAGUUCUCAGGCCUUUGGACUUGGACUGGAAUUACACCAUCAAAUCUCCUGGGUCUCCAGCUUGCCAUCUGCAGAUCUUGGAACUUCUUAACCUCCACAUCCUGGAGUUGAGUCAAAUAAGGUAACACGAAAAACCUGAAAAAAUGGUUUUGGGUCCUUGAUUCUUUCUGUCUGUUGCUCCCGUGCAUCUCUCCACCAGUUGGGAGAAAGAUCAGCGUUAUCUCUGAAUGUAUGGGAGAGCCAGGGGAAGGUCUUCAAGGGCUGGGACAAGCAAGUAUCCUGCAGGGCCCACUCCUG